RNAcentral lists this long non-coding RNA (2365 nucleotides) under Anser brachyrhynchus (Pink-footed goose). RNAcentral's name for it is "lncRNA (ENSABRG00000004055.1)". The record is from RNAcentral. Lineage: Eukaryota; Metazoa; Chordata; Aves; Anseriformes; Anatidae.
CCCAGCUGGGAUGGUCCUGGAGCAUCCGGGGGUGGUGUCCCUAUGGCCACGUGGUGUCCCCGUGGCCGUGCUGAUGUCCCCGCGCCGUGUCCCCAGAGCCUGCUGGUGCUGCUGGACCUGCUGGGCACCCAGCACCCCGCCAUCCACAGCCACUUCCCCCGCACCCACCACUGGUUCCUGCGCCUCGUCGCCAUCGGUGCGCUGCGGGGACACGGGGACGUGGGGACGUGGGGACACGGGGACGGGUGUGGGGUCAGGGCGUGGAUGGGGACAGGGCAUGGACGGGCCCUGCGGAUGUGCAAAGGGCUGGGGACGUGGCGUGGGGACAGGAGGGUUGACAAGGGGCUGGGGACAGGGCGUGGGUGGCACCUGGGGGACGCCCGUGGGUUUGGGGACAAGCAUGUGGUCAGCAUGGGGUGGGGUGACGUGGGGAUGGGGACAGGGUGGGUGCUGGGACACGGGCGGUAGUCACGAGGAUGGGAAUGGGGACACGGAUGGGACGAGGAGGCUGGGAUGGGGACAAAGAUGGAGACAGGAUGGGGACGGGGGUGUCACAGUGCCUUUCCCUGUGUCCCCCCCGCCCCGUGUCCCCUUUGUGUCCCCGGUGCGCAGAGAAACGACUGCGGAGCCUGGGGCUGCUGCACGCCUCCCCCCAGGACCAGCCCUUUUUCCGGCUCAGCCCAGCCCCGGGGCCCGUCGAGGACGACCACGUCCCCUUCCUGCAACGUGGCGUCCCCGUGCUGCAUCUCAUCCCCAUGCCCUUCCCCUGGGUCUGGCACACCACCGAGGACAACGAGGACAACCUCCACCUGCCCACCGUGGAGGACCUCUGCAAGAUCCUCGCCGCCUUCGUGGCCGAGUUCCUGCAGCUCUGAGCCACCCGGACACCCCGACACCCUCCGGCCUGAGCCCCCCCGGGGCGUCGGGGCAGCCCCUGGCUGCGCUGGGAGCCCCCACUAAUAAAAUCCUCGGUGCCUGGCGUCGUGUCCUGCGCUGUCACCCACCCCUGGGGACACCCACGGCGACGCGGUUCGGAACAGGCUCGCUGGGUGGAGGUAGCUGCAGGUGGCAGGAGCGCAGAGGGGGAAACCCAGCUGGAAAAGGCAACGUGGGUCUUAUCGACCCCGUUUUCAGCUGGGGAAGGUCCAACCAGACCUCCAAAAGUCCCAUCCGGACCCCAAAGCGCUGCCGGAUGCUUCGUCGUGGAGGUCCUCCUCGUUUUAAUUUGGUCAGCAGUCCCCUUGUUUUUCCUUUCCGCGACUCCCGCGGUUGCUGCAGACCCACGAAAGAGCAAACCGUUACGUAAAAAGCACAUCCACGUUCAAAAGAUGUGUUUAAAUAUUAACUAAACAUCGAGGGAGCACCGGAAUGAUCAAGAAGGCGAGCUGUUGGUUCUCAUAAUGUUUCUCCUUCAUCUGCCUGUAGCAGUGGUGUUCUGGAUUUCCACUGCAAUCAGAUCUCUCUUCUAAAAAAACAAACAAACAAACAAAAAAAAAAAAACAACUUUUUUUGGGGUCUGUUUUGUCCCCAUUUCCAUCGAUGCAUGUCCUUGCAUCUGUCCCCAUCGCCCCAGUUCUUGACCUCGAAGCCAUCCUCUUGCACGCGUCUACCUGGGAACACUUCACUGCAGAAAUGUAAUUGGGUUUAAAAAGUGUUUUUUUUUUUUAUUUUUUAUUUUAUUGUUUUUUCAAAUCUUCUGGAAUGUUGAAGCAUCUAAGCCUGGAGAUAACGGAAGGGACCAGAUUAUGAGACUCAAAGCACUUAAAAGCAGUAGUUGUCUAGCUCUUUGGAAGGAAAUGACCUACACAGAGGCUGUUCCAAGAAGUAUUUCCUGAUUUUUAUUGCGUUGUUCUGCUCCCAUAGCCCCCCUAGUACCAUCCCCUACAGAACUCAGAGCCACCCAGCAUGAUCCCAGUGCCCCCAGUACCCUCCCAGAGCCUCGCUGUACGUCCUGGAGCCCACCAGGAACCUCCCAGCACCCCCAAGACCCUCCCAAAUUAUCCCAAGUUCCCCGAGAGCCCCCCGGUACACCUCAGAAACACCCAGGACCCUCACAGCACCCAUAAAACCUACUCGAAGCCCUCCAGGACUAACCCAGACCCUCAGGAACCUCCCAGUACCCCAGAAUACACCUCUGGUCAUACAAGAACCCCCAGAAAGAAGGCUCUGAGACACCACGAGGGCCUCAGAAAGGGUCCUGAGAAAUCUGCAGAGAUGCUGAGGGAGCCACUGUGGAAAAAAAAUACGGUUUUGGAGCUAAACAAGCACCUCAGGAGGGAUUCUGAGGGGACUAGAGAGGGCCUAAGGGGGCUGAAGAGGUACCAGAAGGUUCUGGGACAUAAUAAAGACCUUCAGAGGGGACCCA